Molecule: long non-coding RNA, 879 nt
Organism: Hyaena hyaena (striped hyena)
Lineage: Eukaryota; Metazoa; Chordata; Mammalia; Carnivora; Hyaenidae
Exons: 2
Source: RefSeq, a predicted model, not a curated record
CUUCUCUCGCGAGGACGGACGCCAUUAUCGCAUCUCCCCGACAAACACCACGAGAAUUCCGCAGCCCACACGGGUCUAAUCCAGGAUCCUACUCAGCAUUUAGUUGUCAUGUCUCCUUGAAGUCUCCUCCAAUCUGUGAUAUUUACAUAGCCCCAGAGUUCCUCUCCCAAGAUUUAUAUGCUACAAAGGGAAAAAUGGUAACUUCACAGUGGGAAAAGCUGACAGAUCCACCUUACCCAGUAAUAAGACCUUGUAUCCUGCGCCCCAGUGUGAUGCACUGAGACAGAAGUGCACGCCCACGGGUGCAGUCAUGUGAAAACCCAAACAGAGACAUUCACCAAAAUCUUAACUGUUGCUCCUCAAAAGUGUCCAGGUCUUGAAAAAACCGGGAAAGACUUAGAAUUUGCAUUUGAAAAGAUGGCCAGGUGUGGCAGAUGCCCUUUGAUGCUGAAGAAAUACUUCCUGGGCUAGAUGGUUGCCAAGGAAAUAAGAGAUAAGCACAGUCAUGUUUUGUGGAUUGGUGAGUGGAUGCUUCAGGCACAGGUCCUAGAGGAGUUUAUGUUCAUGGUUUAUCGGUACAGGACCCAGUACAAAGUGUUAGUCUUUAUUUUUUCUAUGAUCUUCGUCUACACGGUAUAAAUCCUGAAAAUUGUAGCUGUACCAUUAAAUACACGACCCACAAGACUAACUUUAAACUGUGCAUGUAACUUUAUCAGUUUAACUACUUGAAAUCUGGAAAAAAUAAACAUUUUUCUCAUUUUGAAGAAGUUCCUGGGGGAAAAUAAACAUUAAGGUGUCUGGUGAGAAUGUCUCAGAUAAAAAAGUUUUAAAAAGUCCUCCCUAUCACAGGUAAAUAAAGAUCAUUAUUGUGUUCUCUGA